GUGGGGAAUAUUGGACAAUGGGCGAAAGCCUGAUCCAGCCAUGCCGCGUGUGUGAAGAAGGUCUUCGGAUUGUAAAGCACUUUAAGUUGGGAGGAAGGGUAGUAACCUAAUACGUUGCUACUUUGACGUUACCGACAGAAUAAGCACCGGCUAACUUCGUGCCAGCAGCCGCGGUAAUACGAAGGGUGCAAGCGUUAAUCGGAAUUACUGGGCGUAAAGCGCGCGUAGGUGGUUCAGUAAGUUGGAAGUGAAAUCCCCGGGCUCAACCUGGGAACUGCUUUCAAAGCUGCUGAGCUAGAGUACGGUAGAGGGUGGUGGAAUUUCCUGUGUAGCGGUGAAAUGCGUAGAUAUAGGAAGGAACACCAGUGGCGAAGGCGACCACCUGGACUGAUACUGACACUGAGGUGCGAAAGCGUGGGGAGCAAACAGGAUUAGAAACCCGGGUAGUCC
RNAcentral lists this ribosomal RNA (450 nucleotides) under uncultured bacterium. Its description in RNAcentral is "partial 16S ribosomal RNA". It matches the Rfam family "Bacterial small subunit ribosomal RNA", at positions 354 to 796 of the family's 1533-position model. The record is from RNAcentral.